Molecule: ribosomal RNA, 396 nt
Filed under: uncultured Methanosaeta sp.
Lineage: Archaea; Methanobacteriati; Methanobacteriota; Methanomicrobia; Methanotrichales; Methanotrichaceae
Description: bacterial SSU rRNA
Rfam family: Archaeal small subunit ribosomal RNA
Source: RNAcentral
UAUGAAGGUCAGGCUGAAGACCUUACCCGAUUAGCGUGAGAGGUGGUGCAUGGCCGUCGUCAGUUCGUACUGUGAAGCAUCCUGUUAAGUCAGGGCAACGAGCGAGACCCACGUCCACAGUUGCCAGCAUACCCUCCGGGGUGAUGGGUACACUGUGGAGACCGCCGCUGCUAAAGCGGAGGAAGGAGUGGGCAACGGUAGGUCAGUAUGCCCCGAAUCUCCCGGGGCUACACGCGGGCUACAAUGGGUUGGUACAAUGGGCAUCUACCCCGAAAGGGAAGGAAAUCUCUUAAAGCCAAUCGUAGUUCGGAUUGAGGGCUGCAACUCGCCCUCAUGAAGCUGGAAUCCGUAGUAAUCGCGUUUCAACAGAACGCGGUGAAUACGUCCCUGCUCCUU